AAAAAGAUGUUCUUUUCUAGAUUUUCUUGGGACACGAACAAAUACUACUAGCGAAAUGUUUUUCCACUUUGCUCAUCCUGCUUAAGCCUGUGUGCAAAUAGUUGUUAAUCUACACUGAAUGGAAGAGUCCUUGUGACCAUUUAUUUUAUUAACUCAUGUUAUGUAAACUUGGUAUUUAUCUCAAGGCUGUCUAGACUCUUAAUGCUGUGACCCUUGAAAACCUAGAGAAUUUAAUGUCUCCAGUUGGGCUGAAUUUAGGUUUAGGUUUGGUAGAAUAAUGGGAAGGGUAAGUCUUCAGAGACACUUGACGGAGUCCUCAGAGACACUUGACAAACUUGGGAAAGGAAAGAAGAGUAGGAACAACUGGGCAUGCUCAGUGAUACCCUGAGCAACCACAUUACUUCGCUAGAUCCUGCCCUUUUUCUCAACAAAAAGUAGUUCAAGAAUUAUUUCCUGAGUUGAUCAAAAAGACUUAUUGUCAUAUGGUUAAUUAUGUGUUGAGCAUGUCUUUUUAUUAUUUUUGUAACAGACAAAAAAAAUUACCAUAUAAUUUAAGAAAAGAAGGUACUUUCCAUAUCUCCUGAGUUGGAGAUACUUCUGAAAGGAGCAGAAGAGAUGGGAGAAAUGUACAAUUCUACUUUAUUCCUGAAGUCCUGGUUUUACCAGAUAAAAUGAAGUGAGAUGAAAAUUAAACUUUCUUGUCUGAUUUUUUUUUUCUACCAAGUUAUAGACUUUAAAUUUUGGCAGGAUAAAAAUAAAAUGUGAGACAGAUUUACUUUUUGGCUCACAUAACUUCAAAUAAGGCGACUUAAAAAUGGUUUGGAGCAUUAGUAUUUUGACUGUAGAAAAAAUUUAUUCAUUUAAUAUUAA
RNAcentral lists this long non-coding RNA (870 nucleotides) under Homo sapiens (human). Its description in RNAcentral is "non-protein coding lnc-NIN-3:1". The record is from RNAcentral. Lineage: Eukaryota; Metazoa; Chordata; Mammalia; Primates; Hominidae.